This 337-nucleotide ribosomal RNA is filed under the name uncultured bacterium. RNAcentral describes it as "bacterial SSU rRNA". It matches the Rfam family "Bacterial small subunit ribosomal RNA", at positions 975 to 1312 of the family's 1533-position model. The record is from RNAcentral.
CAGGAUUUGACAUGGGGAGGACCGGUACAGAGAUGUACUUUUCCCGCAAGGGACCUUCCGCACAGGUGCUGCAUGGCUGUCGUCAGCUCGUGUCGUGAGAUGUUGGGUUAAGUCCCGCAACGAGCGCAACCCUCGCCUUUAGUUGCCAUCAUUUAGUUGGGCACUCUAGAGGAACUGCCGGUGACAAGCCGGAGGAAGGUGGGGAUGACGUCAAGUCCUCAUGGCCCUUAUGUCCUGGGCUACACACGUGCUACAAUGGUGGUGACAGUGGGAAGCUAGGUAGUGAUACCAUGCUGAUCUCUAAAAGCCAUCUCAGUUCAGAUUGUACUCUGCAACU